GGGGAUUUAGCUUAGCGACAUAAGCGCCUGCCUUGUAAGCAGGCAAUCGCCAGUUCGAUCCCUGGUACCA
This is a transfer RNA of Cavia porcellus (domestic guinea pig), 70 nucleotides long. It matches the Rfam family "tRNA". From Rfam's summary of the family: Transfer RNA (tRNA) molecules are approximately 80 nucleotides in length. Their secondary structure includes four short double-helical elements and three loops (D, anti-codon, and T loops). The record is from Rfam. Lineage: Eukaryota; Metazoa; Chordata; Mammalia; Rodentia; Caviidae.